UGGGAAUUGGAAUCUCGGAGACAAAGCGAUCUGACCGUGUAAACAUGAAUUGCAGUGUUCAAUGUUCUCUCGGCUUCUGCAUAAUUGCCCUAACUGGGAGACUGUAGUUGUGGUGACAUGCAUGACAGUCUUGUAAAGUGAAACAGUGUUCCGAGGCAGAGUAACGAAAUGGAGAGCUGUUCCUAUAUGUGUGCAGAAUGCUUGCAAGCUUUUGAUUCCGUUAAUGUCUUCACUAAGCAUGAGUGCCAGAUAAACACGAUAGAUAAACAAGAAUCCUCCUUUCCUUUGGCAGAAGAGCAAGUACUGAUUAAAAAUUCAUCUCAGACAUCCAACUUGGCAACUGCAGUUACAUACAUUGAAUUGACUGAUACAAGGAAAGAAGAGCAUCAGGAUCCUGUUUCCCAGAACUCUAUUCAAAGUGUACAAAAAAAGAUAGGAGAUGAAACAGGGUCAUCUUCUGGAUUGACAGACGUAAGAGAAUCCUCAUUUUCUAAGUCAUCAGAAGUGGAGUUAGAUGAGAAUGACCCUAGUAAGAAAAAUAUAAAGAAAAGAAAAAAAUAUGAAGCCAUGGAUGAAUCUUACCGUCUUAAUAGGACCAUGAGAGAUAAGGACUUCAAGCUUGCAAGGAGUAAUUUCUAUUCCUUCAAAGACACUCUUGGAGAUUGGGAUGAACGAUCUACUCAGCUACUUAUUCAGCUUAUUCACAAAUAUCCUCUGACAUAUUUCUUGUUGCCUGUAAAGAAUGAAAGAAGAAUGUGUCAUUGGGAAAAAUUGCAUAAAGAAAUGGAAACUGCUGGAUAUAAUUUUACUAUCCUUCAGCUUCGUAUGCGAUGGAGGGAGGUGCUUCAGAAGUAUCGAUGGACAGUGAAUUACAAUGACUUUCAUGAGAUCAAGAAACGAUGUGAAUACUUUGACGAAAUGAACGAGCUUUGUGGUGACUGGGACAAGGAAGCUACCCAAUGUUUACUCAGACAAAUGCAUCGUGUGAAGCAAGAGAAUCAAGGGAAAAAGAUUGUAAGGAUUGGCUACACUGGAUGGGAGAAAAUAACAGAAAAUUUGAACAUGGAAGGACAUAAGUACACAAUACAGAUGGUUGAGGCAAGAUGGCGUAACUUGGUAACGUUAUACAAGACCAUGGUUGACCACAAUAAUAUACCAAAUGUUGAGCCACAGACUGUGGCAUAUAAGGAAGAUCUUGAAGAACUAGUAAAGUAUGUCCCUCAACGACGAAAUAAUUAUGAAAAGAAGGUUGGAAGAUCAGUUAAAAUGGAAAGAUUCCCUUCAAGUGGAUGUCGUAUCCUUUUACAAGCUUACAAAGACUGCAUAAGUCUUUUUAUGAAUCCAGAUGUUGAUAACAAAAUUGUAUGGGAUGAGAUUACUCAGAAACUUGAAGAUGAAGGCUUCAGUUUUAUGACCUGUAAAUUAAAGGAGAUUCUCACGGGAAUGAUAAAGGGCUUUGAAAAAUGCCAGCACCACAACAGCCUGCCAGGAGCCAUUCGCAGGGAUGUGCCAUAUUACAGAGAACUGGCUGAGGUGUAUGGAGUGUAUGGGCGCUGGCCACACAUUCAAAUUUCAAGAACAAUGGAGAUGAGAACAAAAAGGAAAUAUCGUCUCAGACUACAGGUAAGCCAGCAACUCUGGCUGUUUGAAGAAUCACAAGCUCUUCUGCAAGUCUAUCCUGAUAUUCUAGAAGCAUAUGUUAACCAAUAUUCGAGUCAUCAGCCCAGUGAUCUUUGGCUCCAAGUAGCAAAGGCAUAUGCUGCCACUGGUCACCCAAAACGAGAUGUCCCAGAGAUUGCAGUUCAUGUUGCAUUGCUGCGACAAGGCUAUGCUCAAAAUAAUAAAUUUCCUUUCAUUGAAGAGAUGCGAAAAAUUAAAGAAACAGAAGAAGCUGUAUGUUACAGUCCUGAUGUUUCUAAGUACACUGGGGAGGCGGAGAUUACCUACUGGAGCCAUGAAGCUGUUAACCUUCUUUUGGACUUGUAUAUAAAGUAUCAGUCAUCAGCAACUUCUUCUCAUGCCAGUAGAAAUGAAGUUUUCUUGAAAAUCUAUGAUUCAAUGAAAGACAUUGGAUAUAAAUACACAAAAGAUGAAAUAUCGGAGCAGUUUAAGUUUCUUUUGACUCAAUACAACACUAGAAAGUCAAAUCCAUGGAUGCUCCCUCGUGUGGGACGUCAGAGCCACAAUCCUGCUGGCGGACCCUACGUAGUCAAGUUGCAGAAAAUCUCGGAGCUGAGAAGACAGAUGUCAUUAAGUUGGACCAAAGGUUCGCCUGCACAUUGCUGAUGCCAUAAAGAACUUUGAUGUGACAAUUGAUGUGACAAAUGAGAACAAAGAUAUUGCACGCCUCUACAAGCUCUUCAAAGAUUUUGACAUGUUGGGACUAAUUUGUUAUCUAUCUCUUGAGCCUACAAAUUAUGAUUACAGAAUGGACUCUAAGAAGAAACUAUCUUUAACAAAUUCUGUACAAAAUG
RNAcentral lists this unclassified non-coding RNA (2474 nucleotides) under Portunus trituberculatus (swimming crab). Its description in RNAcentral is "uncharacterized LOC123516354, transcript variant X5". Lineage: Eukaryota; Metazoa; Arthropoda; Malacostraca; Decapoda; Portunidae. The record is from RNAcentral.